Molecule: unclassified non-coding RNA, 323 nt
Filed under: uncultured fungus
Lineage: Eukaryota; Fungi
Description: partial contains small subunit ribosomal RNA, internal transcribed spacer 1, and 5.8S ribosomal RNA
Rfam family: Eukaryotic small subunit ribosomal RNA (bases 1-73)
Source: RNAcentral
GCAAACUUGGUCAUUUAGAGGAAGUAAAAGUCGUAACAAGGUUUCCGUAGGUGAACCUGCGGAAGGAUCAUUCACAAUAAGUGUUUAUGGCACUUUCAAAUCCAUACCCACCUUGUGUGCAUUGUAAAGGCCCUUUCAACUCGCUCUCUCUCUCUCUCUCUCUCCUCCUCCUUGGGAGGAGAAGGAAAGGAAGAAGGGGAAGGACUGGGCUUCAUUUUCUCUCACACGUCUUCAAUUGCAAGUCUAACAUUCAGAGUAAUCAAAACUCGAAUACAACUUUCAACAACGGAUCUCUUGGCUCUCGCAUCGAUGAAGAACGCAGC